UGCAAUGCUUCAGUACAUCUGUGGUCAGACCAUUGCCAAGCCUGUGAGGCCUCCUGUUCAGGUAUACAGUAUUGAAGGUUGCUAUCCAUGGCUCUUCAUUCUGCUGCAUCGAAACAGAAUAAGCUGGAGCAAGUAGAAAAGGAGCUGUUGAGAAUAGCACAAAUCCUGAAGGAACCCAAAGUGGCUGCUUCUAUUUUGAAUCCCUAUGUGAAGCGUUCCUUUAAAGUGAAAAGCCUAAAUGACAUCACAGCCAAAGAGACGUUCUCUUCCCUCAAGACCCCGAUCAAUUUGCUUGCUGAACAUAGUCACUGAAGCAAUACCCAAAGAGUCGUUUCUGCCUUUUCUACCAUGAUGAGUGUCCACCGUGGAGAGGUACCUUGCACAGCGGCCACUGCAUCUCCUUUAGAGGAAGCCACACUCUCUGAAUUAGAGAAUUCUAAUUCUCUAAUUCUAAAUCUCUUCAGGAGAUUCCUCAGUCAAGGCCAAGUAUUGAAAUUGGAGGGUAAGACUGAUCUGUCAAUCAUAGGUGGAAUGAUUGUGCGCAUUGGAAAGAAAUGUUGACAUGUCUGCCAAGACCAAGAUUCAGAAGGUGAGCAGGGCUAUGCAAGAUGUUGUCUAA
Piliocolobus tephrosceles (Ugandan red Colobus) is the source of this 619-nucleotide RNA transcript. It is a transcript of the gene named ATP synthase subunit O, mitochondrial pseudogene, with no coding region annotated. The transcript has a single exon. NCBI's taxonomy places the organism in Eukaryota, Metazoa, Chordata, Mammalia, Primates, Cercopithecidae. The record is from RefSeq and is a predicted model, not a curated record.